GGUCUGAUAGCUCAGUUGGUAGAGCGCUACCCUGAAGAGGUAGGCGUCGGAGGUUCGAAUCCUCCUCAGACCA
Molecule: transfer RNA, 73 nt
Filed under: Caudoviricetes sp.
Lineage: Duplodnaviria; Heunggongvirae; Uroviricota; Caudoviricetes
Description: tRNA-Phe
Rfam family: tRNA
About the family: Transfer RNA (tRNA) molecules are approximately 80 nucleotides in length. Their secondary structure includes four short double-helical elements and three loops (D, anti-codon, and T loops). Further hydrogen bonds mediate the characteristic L-shaped molecular structure. tRNAs have two regions of fundamental functional importance: the anti-codon, which is responsible for specific mRNA codon recognition, and the 3' end, to which the tRNAs corresponding amino acid is attached (by aminoacyl-tRNA synthetases). tRNAs cope with the degeneracy of the genetic code in two manners: having more than one tRNA (with a specific anti-codon) for a particular amino acid; and 'wobble' base-pairing, i.e. permitting non-standard base-pairing at the 3rd anti-codon position.
Source: RNAcentral